CUUUGUAAAAAUAAAAAGCUUGGCUAAAUCAUUGGAAUAAGGCUAAUAGUAUAUAAUAUAUUCAAAAAGUGUUCAAUUUACUCGAUAAACGACACGAUUCUUGAGAUAAGGUUUUUACUAGCACGCUCUCGUCAGCAGCAUUGCGAUUGAUGAAGUCGAUUUGAAGGUUAGCUCGAUACGUGACGUGACGUCGUAAAGCAGCAGCACAAGAAAGCUGGUGUGUAUAUACGGUGGAACGUAAAGGGCUGACGUUCGUGGACGAACGAAAGCGUGCAAUGAAACUGGCCGCCUACUCUCUUCGAUUGUGGGACAAAUUUUUCUUAUCAAUUGCUGAGUAUAGAAUCACAUUUCCUGUGUUUUUCCAAAGACAACAUAAUGCAGAUAUACACCAGAAAGAGUUUCACUAAAAACAAAUCCAUUUGUCGUUGAAUUAAUUAUACAGGGUGUCAAGUAACAUAUCGAACAUUCUUGCAAGGAUCCUGCUUUUCCUUCACACGUUUCACAAAAAAAGCUGGGACUGAAAGAAUGUCAAGUGGAACUCAACAAAGGAGCUUCUGAGCUACUUUACAUAAAAACACAAUGUGCUUGAAAAUACCAGUCGCUGGAGAGAAUUCAGUAAAAUAAGUAGAAAGAUAAAAAGAUAUGUAAUGUUUUUCGAAUGGUAUCAGGUGGGAUAACGUUGUAUCGAUAACGUCGAUGGUAGUCACGGUUCCUUAAUCUAAAACCUUUGGCCGGAGAUCGUUAGAUUCUAUUGCCGCGUGGAAAUCGCGGAUAAGGAACGCGGGACCGGAAGCUCGUGGCGGCGAAGGGUAAAGGGGCGAGCGCGGCGAGGGCAGCUCAACGUUUCGUUUGCAUGUCCCGGUGUAAUAAGCGUCACCCCCAGUGACUUCUCGGCUGGCGUUAUUAAUUCGAUUAUAAUGAGCUAUUAAGCGAAACGCUGGUAAUCCUGACAAGCUCCAUUCAACGGGCUAGGCUUAGCUGCUCGAACCCAGCGAUUGCCUGCAACCCUGUUCGCUGUUAAGCAAAUUAUCAGAGAGGGGAACGCCUCGAGCCUCCUACUACCUUCUUAUCGCAUUUUUACGACACCUUGAUUUCAAUUUUUAAAUCGUUUCCGCAAUGUCUCCGUUCAGGGUAAAGUAAUUCCUCGAAGACGGAUUUAGGAUGUUAAGGAUGGCUGACAGGAUCGUUUUUCUGCAUAAUAAAUAAUUGAAAGACUUUUUUCGUGAAUUGAGUAAAUUGCGUUUGAAGUAUUAAUUAAUCCGCGUUUUUAAUAUUAGAUACCUUUCAAUUGAUAAGUGUAAUAAUUCUUAAAGAUGUUCUUUUUAUGUUUAUAAAAUGAAUACAAAUUUGUAUAAUAAUUCAACUAUUACAUUAUUAGAAAAUGUAUAUAUCUAAGUUGUAUUUGAAAUAUUAAUUAUUCUGGGUUUUUAAUAUUAGAUACUUUUCAAUUGAUAAGUGUAAUGACUCUUAAAGAU
Molecule: unclassified non-coding RNA, 1475 nt
Filed under: Bombus terrestris (buff-tailed bumblebee)
Lineage: Eukaryota; Metazoa; Arthropoda; Insecta; Hymenoptera; Apidae
Description: misc RNA ENSBTSG00005026494.1
Source: RNAcentral